UAGGGAAUCUUCCACAAUGAGCGAAAGCCUGAUGGAGCAACGCCGCGUGUGUGAUGAAGGGUUUCGGCUCGUAAAACACUGUUGUAAGAGAAGAAUGACAUUGAGAGUAACUGUUCAAUGUGUGACGGUAUCUUACCAGAAAGGAACGGCUAAAUACGUGCCAC
RNAcentral lists this ribosomal RNA (164 nucleotides) under uncultured bacterium. RNAcentral's name for it is "partial 16S rRNA". It matches the Rfam family "Bacterial small subunit ribosomal RNA", at positions 355 to 511 of the family's 1533-position model. The record is from RNAcentral.